CCUACGGGUGGCAGCAGUGGGGAAUAUUGCACAAUGGGCGCAAGCCUGAUGCAGCCAUGCCGCGUGUGUGAAGGAGGCCUUCGGGUUGUAAAGCACUUUCAGCGGGGAGGAAGGCGUUAAGGUUAAUAACCUUGGCGAUUGACGUUACCCGCAGAAGAAGCACCGGCUAACUCCGUGCCAGCAGCCGCGGUAAUACGGAGGGUGCAGCGUUAAUCGGAAUUACUGGGCGUAAAGCGCACGCAGGCGGUCUGUCAAGUCGGAUGUGAAAUCCCCGGGCUCAACCUGGGAACUGCAUUCGAAACUGGCAGGCUAGAGUCUUGUAGAGGGGGGUAGAAUUCCAGGUGUAGCGGUGAAAUGCGUAGAGAUCUGGAGGAAUACCGGUGGCGAAGGCGGCCCCCUGGACAAAGACUGACGCUCAGGUGCGAAAGCGUGGGGAGCAAACAGGAUUAGAUACCCCGGUAGUC
This 464-nucleotide ribosomal RNA is filed under the name uncultured Klebsiella sp. RNAcentral's name for it is "bacterial SSU rRNA". It matches the Rfam family "Bacterial small subunit ribosomal RNA", at positions 338 to 795 of the family's 1533-position model. Lineage: Bacteria; Pseudomonadati; Pseudomonadota; Gammaproteobacteria; Enterobacterales; Enterobacteriaceae. The record is from RNAcentral.